UUCUCGAGCUGCUUCCCGAGUCAAGGCUGUAGCUGCGGAAAAGAUCACGCCACCAAAUUCGGCAUAUCAAUUUGAGGUUUCUUGGCGAGGAUUCUCUGGAGAUAAUGCUCGACAGACUAGCCAGUUGAAGGCUAUAUCUCCAAGUGCAUUGCCGCAGAUAUUCAAAAAUGCUUUGACUGUUCCCAUACUUGACAUUAUCAAGUGAAGUGUGUGGCAACCUUUUUCGUUGAAGAAAUGGAUUUGGCCGUCAAUUAUCUGGAGAACAUAACCAGGGUUCCAAGAUUUGACACACUCAUCAUGUUUCUUUCAUCCUCAAACAACGCUGAUCUUGUUAAGAUAUGGGACGAAGUGUUUGACAAUGAGGCAACUCCGAUUGAGUAUGCCGAGAAGCUUGAUAACCUGCAUACAAAGUACUGCCCCAAGCGAUGACAAAGCUCAACAAGGUUCUACUUUACCCUCCUCCACCUCUUGUACUGUAAAUUCAAGUUGUAAAAUUUUGAAAUGCUCCAACGACCCCUUUGAAUCUCAAAUUAUAUCGUGGACAACUUUUCUAUCCAUUUAUCGAGAUGUUAAAAGUACAUUGCAACUUUUA
Prunus avium (sweet cherry) is the source of this 592-nucleotide RNA transcript. RefSeq lists it as uncharacterized. Lineage: Eukaryota; Viridiplantae; Streptophyta; Magnoliopsida; Rosales; Rosaceae. The record is from RefSeq and is a predicted model, not a curated record.